Molecule: ribosomal RNA, 274 nt
Filed under: uncultured bacterium
Lineage: Bacteria
Description: partial 16S ribosomal RNA
Rfam family: Bacterial small subunit ribosomal RNA
Source: RNAcentral
AUACGGAGGGUGCGAGCGUUAAUCGGCAUUACUGGGCGUAAAGCGUACGUAGGCGGUUGGUUAAGUUAGAUGUGAAAGCCCCGGGCUUAACCUGGGAACUGCAUUUAAAACUGGCGAACUAGAGUUGAGUAGAGGGGAGUGGAAUUUCAGGUGUAGCGGUGAAAUGCGUAGAGAUCUGAAGGAACACCAGUGGCGAAGGCGACUCCCUGGACUCGAACUGACGCUGAGGUACGAAAGCGUGGGUAGCAAACGGGAUUAGAAACCCUAGUAGUCC